RNAcentral lists this ribosomal RNA (566 nucleotides) under Heringia heringi. Its description in RNAcentral is "eukaryotic LSU rRNA". The record is from RNAcentral. Lineage: Eukaryota; Metazoa; Arthropoda; Insecta; Diptera; Syrphidae.
CCCGAUGAACCUGAAUAUCCGUUAUGGAAAAUUCAUCAUUAAUAUUAUUAUAUAUAAAAAUAUAAUAAAAAUAGUGUGCAAUUUUUCCAUAUAAGGACAUUGUAAUUUGUUAAUGUGUUAAAUAUUUAUCAAAAAAUUUAAAACAUAAGUUUAUUCAAAUUAGUUAUUUUCGAAUUUCUAACAUAGAAUAAAUGUAUUAAAUUCGAUAAAUCAUUGACAGAUUUUAUUAUAUAUAAUGCUUAAAUUCUUUUUGAAUUUUAUAAUUAUUUUUAUUAAUUAUUAAUAAUUAUAUGCAUUUAUAUGAUUAACAAUGCGAUAGAUUCAGGAUACCUUCGGGACCCGUCUUGAAACACGGACCAAGGAGUCUAACAUAUGUGCAAGUCAUUGGGUAUUUUUAAUAAAACCCAAUGGCAUAAUUAACUUAACUGUUAUUUAAUGGGAUUAGUUUGUAUAUUAUUAUGAUAUAUAAAUUCAAUCCCGGGGCGUUCUAUAUAGUUAUGCAUAAUAAUAUUUAUAUUAUUUAUGCCUCUAACUAGAGCGUACCUUGAGCAUAUAUGCUGUGACCC